RNAcentral lists this ribosomal RNA (253 nucleotides) under uncultured bacterium. Its description in RNAcentral is "partial 16S ribosomal RNA". It matches the Rfam family "Bacterial small subunit ribosomal RNA", at positions 524 to 776 of the family's 1533-position model. The record is from RNAcentral.
UACGUAGGGGGCUAGCGUUGUCCGGAAUCAUUGGGCGUAAAGGGCGUGUAGGCGGAGAUGUAAGUCUAUUCUGAAAGCUCCUGGCUAAACUGGGAGAGGCGAAUGGAGACUGCAUAUCUAGAGUGAGGAAGAGGAAAGUGGAAUUCCGCGUGUAGUGGUGAAAUGCGCAGAGAUCGGCAGGAACACCCAGGGGGAAACCAGUGGACUGGGCAUGUGCUGACGCUCAGGUGCGAAAGCGUGGGGAGCGAACCGG